UGGGGAAUUUUGCGCAAUGGGGGAAACCCUGACGCAGCAACGCCGCGUGGAGGAUGAAGUCCCUUGGGACGUAAACUCCUUUCGAUCGGGACGAUUAUGACGGUACCGGAAGAAGAAGCCCCGGCUAACUUCGUGCCAGCAGCCGCGGUAAUACGAGGGGGGCAAGCGUUGUUCGGAAUUAUUGGGCGUAAAGGGUGCGUAGGUGGUUCGGCAAGUCUUGUGUGAAAUCUUCAGGCUCAACUUGAAGUCUGCACAAGAAACUGCCGGGCUUGAGUGUGGGAGAGGUGAGUGGAAUUUCCGGUGUAGCGGUGAAAUGCGUAGAUAUCGGAAGGAACACCUGUGGCGAAAGCGGCUCACUGGACCACUACUGACACUGAGGCACGAAAGCUAGGGGAGCAAACA
Molecule: ribosomal RNA, 402 nt
Filed under: uncultured bacterium
Lineage: Bacteria
Also listed under: 1 other name
Description: bacterial SSU rRNA
Rfam family: Bacterial small subunit ribosomal RNA
Source: RNAcentral